Molecule: unclassified non-coding RNA, 206 nt
Filed under: plant metagenome
Description: partial contains small subunit ribosomal RNA, internal transcribed spacer 1, and 5.8S ribosomal RNA
Rfam family: Eukaryotic small subunit ribosomal RNA (bases 1-54)
Source: RNAcentral
GGAAGUAAAAGUCGCAACAAGGUUUCCGUAGGUGAACCUGCGGAAGGAUCAUUACAAAUCUUUGCGAGUGCUGCGUGCGUAACUGUGCGCAGCAUUUCACAACAUUAGCACAAGGCCGCAAGGCCUUGAUGUUUACGCUUGUUUGUUUGACAGAGUUAGUUGAGAAAUAAUAAAGACAACUUUUAACAAUGGAUCUCUUGGCUCUU